AAGAGUUAUAAACUCCCAAAACCCACUGUGAACAUACCGUCUUGUUGCCUCGGCAGGUCGUGCUCCUACCCUGUAGCUGCUACCCUGUAGGUCCUACCCUGUACCUACCCUGUAGUAGCUACCCGGUAAGCACACCAAACCGCCUGCCGGUGGCCGUCUAAACUCUUAGUAGUCAUUGUGGAACUCUGAUACAGUUUUUAAUAAGUUA
RNAcentral lists this unclassified non-coding RNA (208 nucleotides) under uncultured Xylariaceae. Its description in RNAcentral is "sequence contains ITS1". Lineage: Eukaryota; Fungi; Ascomycota; Sordariomycetes; Xylariales; Xylariaceae. The record is from RNAcentral.